Sitophilus oryzae (rice weevil) is the source of this 369-nucleotide long non-coding RNA. RefSeq lists it as uncharacterized. The transcript has 2 exons. The record is from RefSeq and is a predicted model, not a curated record. NCBI's taxonomy places the organism in Eukaryota, Metazoa, Arthropoda, Insecta, Coleoptera, Curculionidae.
AUUAUGUAUAACACGAUAUAAAUAAUUUAAGGACAUAAGAAAUUAAAAUUUCAAGUGCCAAUAUUGAUUAUUUUUCCAGUUUUAUUCAAAUAUAUUGAAAUUAAUAUGGAAACAAAAGUUCAUAAAUAUUAGUUUGAAAAGCCAUGUCAGAAGAGUAGGAUUAAAGACAAAGUAUUAAGAGUAAUUGGGCUGUUCCUGAACAAUAUUGAAUAUAAAUAUUCAAAAAUAUGAUAAACUGCAUAUCCUACUAAGUAGAUCAAUACCAAAAUUCCAUUAGAGAAAUAAGUUAAAAUUAUGUUUUACUUGUAUAAUUUUCUUGCUAUUUGUCCACCAUUAUUUGUGACUUAGAAAUUAAAUAGUCAAAAAGAA